GACCUGGCAAGAUGAGUUGGAUUUUAUCAGUCCCAUGUGUGUUUCUGCUCUGAAAUGAUGACUAGUUUUAUGCAUGUUACUAAAAGAAAAGGGGACCUUUUGACAGUUUCCUAUGCUCAAACCCAACAUGUGUGAUUGACUCAGCGACUGGUAUCUUUUUAGCGGAGCUGCCCCCUCCAUACACCGCCUUCACCAGCCUGGACGCCAGGGGCAUCCCAGUGAUAAACUGUCACAUGUGCCAGUUGCUGAUCAGCCUGGACGGCAAGCUCCACCAGCACAUGGUGAAGUGCAUGGUCUGCAAUGAGGCUACAGUAAAUGGAGUUUCCGCCAGUAAAAGCAUCGAUUGUUACCUGACAUCUUUUCCCUCGAGGAAGUACUUCCACAGUAUGACUUAAGCGUAGGUGCAGGCUGGACACAGAGAUGGCGCAUCUCCACACCCUUGCUGUCUUCUCUCAGCUGUCUAUUCCUCUGGAGCAUACAAGGAUCCUCCCGGUGUUUGCAGCUCACUUCAUUGGGAAAAUGUCAGGGCGAGUUUAAAUACAAUGCCAUUUGGCUCUUUACUUUCUAAAACGAGACUGACCAUAGACAGUUAUUUGUAAUUAUCUUCAAUGUCUAUCACAUCACAGGGAAAUCCAUUUUCAUUUUCACUAAAAUGUGGGCUUUGUACUUAUGUGGAAAAUUACUUAAACAUAUUUUAUGUUUGUAGGAUGUCAGCAUGACUUUUCUUAUUAGGAAUUUGUUAUUGACAUUUGUGCCAAAUCUACACUAAUAAAAGACAAAGAUGCUAAUUGACUGUACCUUCGCUACACCCACCAGCCAAUCAGAAAGUAUGCAAAUUAACCCAACAAAGAUGGCUGUUAAAUUUGCAUACUGCAGAUGGGGCGGGCAGCGCCAGACGCCGCCCAUGGGAUCUGGGCCACAGAUAUGGGAACCGGGGAGGUGGGGCGGGCAGUGCCAGAUGCCACCUGGGGAGGUGGAGCCGGUGAUCGCCCCAGCCAGAGGCCUGAAGCCUGGGCAGGGACUGUUGUGGUGACAACACAAGUCUUUCCUUUGCUCACCAAGCCUGGCCUCUUAGUCUAAAAAGAACAAAAACCCUUCCUAAUUGUUUAGCCUAAAGUGGCUCCUUUCAUGGUCUGCAGCUCUGAGAGAGGAGCCCUAAGCUGAGGGUUCUCACAGUCACAAGUGAUGUUCUUCUGAACACAGAACAGAUUCCUUUCUAGAAAUAAACUCUCUCGUAGUACAAUGUUUUACGUUCCACAGGACAUGUUUGCUAAUAGUCCCAAUGCCUUUAGUUCCUCUAUAAGAUGAAGCAAAGCAUGAAUAAAUCUAUGUUCAGUAACCCCCUCCUCACCAAACUCUCACUAUAUCACAGCACACAAUACACUAACACACACACCGGUUCCCACACCAGCCACCUCCCCUGCUGGCCCUCUGUAGGCAGACACUCUUCCUGCCUCAUCUUUCCUCAGGUUUGUGGAGACGCCCCCGGGCCUAUGGAGAUGCCUCUACGUGUCUGCUGAGGCUCAGCAACAUGGAGCCACCUGAGUCAGGAGAAGUGUCUCGGGCUCGCUUCCUGGCCGGGCCGAGCUGUGGGGCUGUCACUGGACACCAGCACCACAGGCUCCACGGGGGUCAGAGAGGAGACGCGGGCCCCCCUGCGAAGAACAUGACCCCAGGAGCCUGAAUCCGUGUGAGCCUCUGCAGGCGUGUGAGGACCUACACACGGUUCCCCUUCAUCUUCACUGAUGCUGGGGCGGCGGCAGCAGGAGGCGGCCGCAAUGUGACAGAGAAACAGGGACUUGUCACCGCCGGGCGCACCCGCCGGCUCAGGAGCAUGUUGUGCGUCCCUGACGAUGCUCCAGCCGCUGAGCCAUGUGCCAGCCUCUGCCACGCUCUACAGCCGAGACACAUCUCCGGCUCCUGAGAGAACAUCCAUGAAAGCCGGGGACAGGGAAACGCUCCGCACAGCAGCAGCCACAGGAGAGCCUCAGAGGGCGGCCGUGGCUCCUGAGAAAUAAAAGUCGCAGCGAAAGAGGAGUUUCUAAUAUAAACCUCAAUUCAGAGGGAGUGGCCUGCAAAGUCCCUCCCGCAUUGAACUGACUGAUAGACAUGUGGACUGAGAAAAGGAGAGAUGGCAGGACCAGACUAGAACACACAACUGGCGCAGAGUGGAGCUGAGCCGUGUGGCCUGAAGGGAACUCACUCGGGGCAGCCUGACCCCAGGGCCUCCCACAGCCACGACGCUUCACACUGAAGCAGCACAGCAGACCUGCUCCCACAGCAGGGCCACUUCACGCUGCUCCUGUAGCAACACUGAGCUGCUCCACAGCCUGCCGUCGCCCAGAUGGUGAGCUCUCCCAGCUGCUAGUGUCCUCGUGGAGCUGACACCUCAGAGGCCACUGGCCAGUCUCACUAGUGAAGAUGCGCUGAUAGGAGUGAGAGCAGUUAAGGCCUCCUUUGCACGGAAACGCUUCUGAAAUGUGGAGGACACAUCAACAAGAAUGCAAAUAAAAAGUCACACACUUGGUUCCUUUAAGCAUAUUUAAUAUUUGAACUCUCAUUUUCUAUUUUCCCAGACCCCAGAAAAGAGAAAGUUUUUAGCUGACCAAUAUUUUGUUCCAGAAACAUACAGCCUUAUCAGCUAAUUCAUAAAAGAGCUAUUUUACAAAGGUACAUCUGGAUAAUUAGAACAAUAAAGUCUUUUAGGUAUUUCAAAAUAUGAGUAAAAAUACAUGAUUAUUAAUAGAGUUUUCUGAAGACAGCUGCUGUUUUUAUAGAGUGAUUUCUAGGAAAGAGCCCAAGACUGUUGGUGAACGAGUGAAGAAAGGGUUCUGGCAGAAGAGGCGUGUUAGCCACAGCCCAGUGUGCACGUCCCCGGGGUCUCUGCGGCCCAUCCCCCUAGGAGAUCCAUUUCCCAACCAACUUAUUAUCAAAACCAUCAGGACCAGUGGGGAAGGCAGAAGGAAUGAAGAAAAGGAACUCUUUUCUUGAACAACUUUGCAGGACAUUUUGAAAAGGUAGAAAAAUCAGAAAAAAAACACAAAACAAAAAUUGUAAUAUUAGGAGGACAAAGGAGCAGAGAUGCCGGGAGGGCCCUGCGCAUGGUCUGUCCUGAGGUCCCUGCACUCGGUUCUCAAUGGCGCCUUCAGCGUCUCAGGGAGGAAAUGUUGGCCAGAGCCCUAGUUCCAGUGACACUCCCCAGGGCUGCAGAGGAAGCGCUUCCGGCUGGGAGUGCAGAAGCCCCACGCAGCACGCCCACCUCAGGACGCCAAAAAGGAAAA
Myotis myotis is the source of this 3281-nucleotide long non-coding RNA. RefSeq lists it as uncharacterized. The record is from RefSeq and is a predicted model, not a curated record. NCBI's taxonomy places the organism in Eukaryota, Metazoa, Chordata, Mammalia, Chiroptera, Vespertilionidae. The transcript is spliced from 2 exons.